AGAGUUUGAUCCUGGCUCAGAUUGAACGCUGGCGGCAGGCCUAACACAUGCAAGUCGAACGGUAACAGGAAGCAGCUUGCUGCUUCGCUGACGAGUGGCGGACGGGUGAGUAAUGUCUGGGAAGCUGCCUGAUGGAGGGGGAUAACUACUGGAAACGGUAGCUAAUACCGCAUAAUGUCGCAAGACCAAAGAGGGGGACCUUCGGGCCUCUUGCCAUCGGAUGUGCCCAGAUGGGAUUAGCUUGUUGGUGGGGUAACGGCUCACCAAGGCGACGAUCCCUAGCUGGUCUGAGAGGAUGACCAGCCACACUGGAACUGAGACACGGUCCAGACUCCUACGGGAGGCAGCAGUGGGGAAUAUUGCACAAUGGGCGCAAGCCUGAUGCAGCCAUGCCGCGUGUAUGAAGAAGGCCUUCGGGUUGUAAAGUACUUUCAGCGGGGAGGAAGGGAGUAAAGUUAAUACCUUUGCUCAUUGACGUUACCCGCAGAAGAAGCACCGGCUAACUCCGUGCCAGCAGCCGCGGUAAUACGGAGGGUGCAAGCGUUAAUCGGAAUUACUGGGCGUAAAGCGCACGCAGGCGGUUUGUUAAGUCAGAUGUGAAAUCCCCGGGCUCAACCUGGGAACUGCAUCUGAUACUGGCAAGCUUGAGUCUCGUAGAGGGGGGUAGAAUUCCAGGUGUAGCGGUGAAAUGCGUAGAGAUCUGGAGGAAUACCGGUGGCGAAGGCGGCCCCCUGGACGAAGACUGACGCUCAGGUGCGAAAGCGUGGGGAGCAAACAGGGUUAGAUACCCUGGUAGUCCACGCCGUAAACGAUGUCGACUUGGAGGUUGUGCCCUUGAGGCGUGGCUUCCGGAGCUAACGCGUUAAGUCGACCGCCUGGGGAGUACGGCCGCAAGGUUAAAACUCAAAUGAAUUGACGGGGGCCCGCACAAGCGGUGGAGCAUGUGGUUUAAUUCGAUGCAACGCGAAGAACCUUACCUGGUCUUGACAUCCACGGAAGUUUUCAGAGAUGAGAAUGUGCCUUCGGGAACCGUGAGACAGGUGCUGCAUGGCUGUCGUCAGCUCGUGUUGUGAAAUGUUGGGUUAAGUCCCGCAACGAGCGCAACCCUUAUCCUUUGUUGCCAGCGGUCCGGCCGGGAACUCAAAGGAGACUGCCAGUGAUAAACUGGAGGAAGGUGGGGAUGACGUCAAGUCGUCAUGGCCCUUACGACCAGGGCUACACACGUGCUACAAUGGCGCAUACAAAGAGAAGCGACCUCGCGAGAGCAAGCGGACCUCAUAAAGUGCGUCGUAGUCCGGAUUGGAGUCUGCAACUCGACUCCAUGAAGUCGGAAUCGCUAGUAAUCGUGGAUCAGAAUGCCACGGUGAAUACGUUCCCGGGCCUUGCACUCACCGCCCGUC
RNAcentral lists this ribosomal RNA (1400 nucleotides) under uncultured bacterium. RNAcentral's name for it is "bacterial SSU rRNA". It matches the Rfam family "Bacterial small subunit ribosomal RNA". The record is from RNAcentral.